This 248-nucleotide long non-coding RNA is filed under the name Gossypium barbadense (sea-island cotton). RNAcentral describes it as "long non-coding RNA (GBAR_LNC001508)". The record is from RNAcentral. Lineage: Eukaryota; Viridiplantae; Streptophyta; Magnoliopsida; Malvales; Malvaceae.
AGGUGCAAAGUGAAACAUAUCAUUCAUCAUUGAUAACCCUGAUUGCUGAUAAUGAGAAUAGGAACUGGGAAUAUCAAGUUGAUAAGAGUAGACUAGGAACUUCAGUGCAAAGCUAUCACUACAAAACUCCAAAUGAUAAGAACUACCUUUCGAUUGUGUUUGUGUCCUUGUAGGUUCGGGCUCAGGAGUAGGAGGUAGAUGUCUUCAGUGAGGAUGGGAGCGACUGUAUACACUUUGAUGAUGUCCCC